AAUUAAUACACGCUAUGUGGGUGAAGUGGACGGACUAUCUGUGCCUGAAUCUCAAAGCCGGGGUAACCUGAGUCCGCUUUUUGUAGUGAGCCCGCGGUCUAUCAGCUAGAUUGGUGAGGUAAUCGGCUCACCAUAGGUCUAUGACUGGGUAGCUGGUCUGAGAGGACGACCAGGUCACACUGGAACUGAGCCAGGAUCCAGACUCCUAUACGGGAAGCAGCAGUGGGGAAUUUUGGACAAUGGGGGCAACCCUGAUCCUAGCCAUGCCGCGUGAAGUGAAGAAGGCCUUCGGGUUGUAAAGCUCUUUCGGCCGGGACGAAAUCGCAUGGGCGAAUAUCCUGUGUGGAUGACGGUACCGGAAGAAGAAGCACCGGCUAACUACGUGCCAGCAGCCGCGGUAAUACGUAGGGUGCGAGCGUUAAUCGGAAUUACUGGGCGUAAAGCGUGCGCAGGCGGUUUGUAAGCCAGAUGUGAAAUCCCCGGGCUCAACCUGGGAACUGCAUUUGGGACUGCAAGGCUUUGAGUACGGCAGAGGGGGGUAGAAUUCCUGGUGUAGCAGUGAAAUGCGUAGGAUCUCAGGAGGAAUACCGAUGGCGAAAGCAGGGCCCCCUGGGGUCGAUACUGAACGCUCAUGCACGAAAGCCUUGGGGAAGCAAAACCGGGAUUAGAUUAC
This 673-nucleotide ribosomal RNA is filed under the name uncultured bacterium. RNAcentral describes it as "bacterial SSU rRNA". It matches the Rfam family "Bacterial small subunit ribosomal RNA", at positions 161 to 786 of the family's 1533-position model. The record is from RNAcentral.